Molecule: ribosomal RNA, 169 nt
Filed under: uncultured rumen bacterium
Lineage: Bacteria
Description: partial 16S ribosomal RNA
Rfam family: Bacterial small subunit ribosomal RNA
Source: RNAcentral
UACGGGAGGCAGCAGUGGGGAAUAUUGGGCAAUGGGCGAAAGCCUGACCCAGCAACGCCGCGUGAAGGAUGACGGUCUUCGGAUUGUAAACUUCUUUAAUUGGGGAAGAAUAAAUGACCUACCGAAAGAAUAAGUCACGGCUAACUACGUGCCAGCAGCCGCGGUAAUA